RNAcentral lists this transfer-messenger RNA (453 nucleotides) under Candidatus Endomicrobiellum glyptotermitis. It matches the Rfam family "transfer-messenger RNA". From Rfam's summary of the family: Bacterial tmRNA, also known as 10Sa RNA or SsrA, is named for its dual tRNA and mRNA-like properties. Its role is to liberate the mRNA from a stalled ribosome. Lineage: Bacteria; Pseudomonadati; Elusimicrobiota; Endomicrobiia; Endomicrobiales; Endomicrobiaceae. The record is from RNAcentral.
GGGGGUGAAUAGGGCUCGACGGAAACGGUUGAUGUAGUGACAGCAGGUCGGAGUUAGUCGAUGGCUCUGUGAAAAUCGACUGAAGAAUAAACAACAAUAAUUUAGUUUCAAUGCAGAACUUCAAAGUUUUUGUAUCGGGGAUGUUUUUGGUGGGUCUUUUUUUUGGGAUGAGAAAAAAAUCCAAAGGCUUCGAAAAUCUUGGAGCGAUGCCAGUGGCUGCUUAAAGCAGUUACGUUUUAUCUCAAACACCUGCUAUGAGAAUAGAACGACAAAAUGGCAGGUUAGUUUUAAACCGCUCGUGUCGUCAGUUUAAAAUGAAAUUAAAACGAUGCAAGUUUAUAACGCAAUCCUGUCUGGAGGCAGUGUUAUAAAUGAAAAAAAAUCCAGACUAAGCCUGUAGCGGUCUUACUGAAGCAUUUUCGGACGCGGGUUCGAUUCCCGCCACCUCCACAA